Molecule: long non-coding RNA, 285 nt
Organism: Penaeus monodon (black tiger shrimp)
Lineage: Eukaryota; Metazoa; Arthropoda; Malacostraca; Decapoda; Penaeidae
Exons: 2
Source: RefSeq, a predicted model, not a curated record
CCCAGGGAACAACGUUCUGCGGCGGCUGUACUGAAAACGAGAAGGUGCGAGUGAAGGUCGUGUUAGACGCUCUGGAAACCGAUUACAAGGACCUGGCGUGCGAGCUUCACAACUUCAGCAAGAUUCCUCUCUUCUCUGCAAAUCCCUGCGCUUGAAGCACGAGAUCGCAAGGCAUCAUCACAUGAAGGCGAGAGUAAUCACGAAUUAAUUACGAUUCAAUUCAAGGAUGACGAUGUGGCUUCAUGUGCUUGUACAGCUUGUGUAGUAAAUGAUUAUCUCGAACGG